AACUUGAUAAUAUUCUUGUCCCCCUGCAAAAUUCAUUUCGAAGAAAACAAGUGCAAUAGAGUAUGAAACAGAGAAACUGCAAGGCAAUAUACACCAACAAACUAUCUGCAAAAGUGUCAAACCACAAGAAAGGAAUGGCAUACAAAAGGAGAUUUUUUGCAAACUUUUCAAAACCAUUACCUAAAAUUAAAAUAACCUGAUAAACAUAUUUAAGUGCCAUUACCUAAAUUUUAAGAUAAAUAUAAGGCAUAUAUGCCAAACUUUGGUAGGACUAGCACAACUUUAAGUUUGAAAAUCCUGAACAAACUUUUAGGGAAAGAAAAAAAAGAGAUGGUGUAAACUGUGGCAUGACUGAACAAUUAAUGCACAAAUUACUUCCAAGUGCUCAUCAUUAACAAGAACAGAACUUACCACAUAAGCUUCAAAUAUACGAU
This 434-nucleotide unclassified non-coding RNA is filed under the name Hevea brasiliensis (rubber tree). Lineage: Eukaryota; Viridiplantae; Streptophyta; Magnoliopsida; Malpighiales; Euphorbiaceae. The record is from RNAcentral.